UGGGGAAUAUUGGACAAUGGGCGCAAGCCUGAUCCAGCCAUACCGCGUGGGUGAAGAAGGCCUUCGGGUUGUAAAGCCCUUUUGUUGGGAAAGAAAUCCAGCUGGUUAAUACCCGGUUGGGAUGACGGUACCCAAAGAAUAAGCACCGGCUAACUUCGUGCCAGCAGCCGCGGUAAUACGAAGGGUGCAAGCGUUACUCGGAAUUACUGGGCGUAAAGCGUGCGUAGGUGGUUGUUUAAGUCCGUUGUGAAAGCCCUGGGCUCAACCUGGGAACUGCAGUGGAUACUGGGCGACUAGAAUGUGGUAGAGGGUAGCGGAAUUCCUGGUGUAGCAGUGAAAUGCGUAGAGAUCAGGAGGAACAUCCAUGGCGAAGGCAGCUACCUGGACCAACAUUGACACUGAGGCACGAAAGCGUGGGGAGCAAACA
This 427-nucleotide ribosomal RNA is filed under the name uncultured bacterium. Its description in RNAcentral is "partial 16S ribosomal RNA". It matches the Rfam family "Bacterial small subunit ribosomal RNA", at positions 355 to 774 of the family's 1533-position model. The record is from RNAcentral.